CCAGACUCCUACGGGAGGCAGCAGUGGGGGAUAUUGCACAAUGGGGGGAACCCUGAUGCAGCGACGCCGCGUGGGUGAAGGAGUAUUUCGGUAUGUAAAGCCCUAUCGGCAGGGAAGAAAUUGGACGGUACCUGACUAAGAAGCCCCGGCUAACUACGUGCCAGCAGCCGCGGUAAUACGUAGGGGGCAAGCGUUAUCCGGAUUCACUGGGUGUAAAAGGAGCGUAGACGGCCAGGCAAGCCUGGAGUGAAAGCCCGGGGCCCAACCCCGGGACUGCUCUGGGAACUGUCCGGCUGGAGUGCGGGAGAGGUAAGCGGAAUUCCUAGUGUAGCGGUGAAAUGCGUAGAUAUUAGGAGGAACACCAGUUGCGAAGGCGGCUCUCUGGACUGUAACUGACACUGAGGCACGAAAGCGUGGGGAGCAAACAGGAUUAGAUACCCGCGUAC
RNAcentral lists this ribosomal RNA (446 nucleotides) under uncultured bacterium. Its description in RNAcentral is "partial 16S ribosomal RNA". It matches the Rfam family "Bacterial small subunit ribosomal RNA", at positions 331 to 793 of the family's 1533-position model. The record is from RNAcentral.